UACGGAGGGUGCAAGCGUUAUCCGGAUUCACUGGGUUUAAAGGGUGCGUAGGCGGGUAUGUAAGUCAGUGGUGAAAUACCGGAGCUUAACUUCGGAACUGCCAUUGAUACUAUAUAUCUUGAAUAUUGUGGAGGUAAGCGGAAUAUGUCAUGUAGCGGUGAAAUGCUUAGAGAUGACAUAGAACACCGAUUGCGAAGGCAGCUUGCUACGCAAAUAUUGACGCUGAGGCACGAAAGCGUGGGGAUCAAACGGG
RNAcentral lists this ribosomal RNA (253 nucleotides) under uncultured bacterium. Its description in RNAcentral is "partial 16S ribosomal RNA". It matches the Rfam family "Bacterial small subunit ribosomal RNA", at positions 524 to 776 of the family's 1533-position model. The record is from RNAcentral.